This is a non-coding RNA of Clostridium homopropionicum DSM 5847, 140 nucleotides long. The record is from Rfam. NCBI's taxonomy places the organism in Bacteria, Bacillati, Bacillota, Clostridia, Eubacteriales, Clostridiaceae.
UAAGUCUUUCAGGGCAGGGUGAAAUUCCCGACCGGCGGUAUAGUCCGCGAGCUGUAAUAUCAUAAAGAGUAGUGUUAUUAUGGCAGAUCUGGUUUGAUUCCAGAACCGACAGUAAAGUCUGGAUGGGAGAAUAGGAUUAA